UUCAGCUAGCAAGUAGCCUUAAAAAUCAUCUGGUCCAUACUCUUGCUUUUACAGAUGAGGAAACAGACCUCCAAGGGUUAAGUGACCAGGUGACCUUGGGAUCAUAUACAUAUAAUAACUACUUCACAAUCAAGCCCCAAUUUAACUGCAGCUAACUAGUCAUAUGACCUAGGAGAUCCAUCCAGCCUUAUGAUACUAUGAUGAGGACUUGAAAUCCACCGGAGGAGAAUCAAGUACAUUUAAGGAAUGCUAAAGAGGCAGCCUGCUUCCCAUUGGACUUCCACCAGUCUAAUUUUUCCAAACAUUCCUUGCAGAAUGGAAAGUUGGAUUCUGGAACCUGGGAUCGAAAUACUCUCUACUCCGGAUAUGUA
Molecule: non-coding RNA, 371 nt
Organism: Phascolarctos cinereus (koala)
Lineage: Eukaryota; Metazoa; Chordata; Mammalia; Diprotodontia; Phascolarctidae
Source: RefSeq, a predicted model, not a curated record